UAGGGAAUAUUAGUUAAUGUGCGAAAGCGCGAACUAGCAACGCCGCGUGUGCGAUGAAGGCCUUCGGGUUGUAAAGCACUUUUCCAAGGGACGAGGAAGGACGGUACCUUGGGAAUAAGCAUCGGCUAACUACGUGCCAGGAGCCGCGGUAAAACGUAGGAUGCGAGCGUUAUCCGGAUUUACUGGGCGUAAAGCGCGUGUAGGCGGUUCGGUAAGUUGGAUGUGAAAGCUCCCGGCUUAACUGGGAGAGGUCGUUCAAUACUGCCGAGCUAGAGGAUGGUAGAGGAAGGUGGAAUUCCGAGUGUAGUGGUGAAAUGCGUAGAUAUUCGGAGGAACACCAGUGGCGAAAGCGGCCUUCUGGACCAUUUCUGACGCUCAUACGCGAAAGCUAGGGUAGCAAACGG
RNAcentral lists this ribosomal RNA (404 nucleotides) under uncultured bacterium. RNAcentral describes it as "bacterial SSU rRNA". It matches the Rfam family "Bacterial small subunit ribosomal RNA", at positions 355 to 775 of the family's 1533-position model. The record is from RNAcentral.